UCUACUAUUGAGCUUGGAGCUCUCCAGUUCAGGCACCAAUGAGAAUUUUCUGCAGCUUGGAUUGUAGAAGAUCCACUGCCAAUAAGAAAGCUGAGAUAUUCCCUCUUUCUAGAGUUGCCAAAACUUUUUAAGAUGAUGCAGCAGUAUGUGUUGAACUCUGACUUAUCUUUUUUUGACAAAUAAUGAAGGGAGACUUUUCCCCCAGAUUUAAUGAUUGGAACCAGAAUAAGUACAAAUGUGGGAAGUAUUCACAAAGGAGCUGGAGUUACAAAACAGCUAGAAUUGGCUGCAAGCUACCAAUCAGCAAGAAUGGAAUCACUAUGAGCAAUAGAGACCAAUUAGGCCAGCACUGCCCAAAGUUCUCUGUGAGUCGCUGUUGUUCUAACCGAGCACAUCUUUCCCCACUGUUUUAAAGGUUUGGAGUGUUUUUUUUUUUUGGGAGGAUUUUACUAGUAGAGGAGUUCAUUCGAACGAAUAUUCUCGUAUUCAGUUCUUGCCAAAUCUGUGAGAAAAGAGCCAUUGUAUGCUGAUCCCAAGCUUUUCUGAACGAC
RNAcentral lists this long non-coding RNA (551 nucleotides) under Phoenix dactylifera (date palm). Its description in RNAcentral is "long non-coding RNA (PDAC_LNC002898)". Lineage: Eukaryota; Viridiplantae; Streptophyta; Magnoliopsida; Arecales; Arecaceae. The record is from RNAcentral.